AAGUCGUAACAAGGUUUCCGUAGGUGAACCUGCGGAAGGAUCAUUAAAUAAAUUAUUUGAUGCGUUUUUUUUUUUUUUUAUUAAAAAACGCCAUCUUAUUUUUACUGUGAACUGUUUUUUAUAUUUCAUAGUGCUUGAGGGAUGACUGGUAGCCAUAAAUGGACAGGCUACUGGGAUGUUUUUAACCGAGCUAUGGUCAGGCUUUAGGCCUGGUGUCCUAAAAUUUAUUAUUUACCAAAAAAGAAAUUCAGUAUAAAAAAAUAUUGUAACUAUGGGGCGUAAAAAACCUAUAAAAAAAACAACUUUUAACAACGGAUCUCUUGGUUCUC
Molecule: unclassified non-coding RNA, 329 nt
Filed under: Mucor megalocarpus
Lineage: Eukaryota; Fungi; Mucoromycota; Mucoromycetes; Mucorales; Mucoraceae
Description: partial internal transcribed spacer region
Rfam family: Eukaryotic small subunit ribosomal RNA (bases 1-46)
Source: RNAcentral